GACGAACGCUGGCGGCGUGCUUAACACAUGCAAGUCGAACGGAAAGGCCCUGCUUUUGUGGGGUGCUCGAGUGGCGAACGGGUGAGUAACACGUGAGUAACCUGCCCUUGACUUUGGGAUAACUUCAGGAAACUGGGGCUAAUACCGGAUAGGAGCUCCUGCUGCAUGGUGGGGGUUGGAAAGUUUCGGCGGGUGGGGAUGGACUCGCGGCUUAUCAGCUUGUUGGUGGGGUAGUGGCUUACCAAGGAUUUGACGGGUAGCCGGCCUGAGAGGGUGACCGGCCACAUUGGUACUGAGAUACGGCCCAGACUGCUACGGGAGGCAGCAGUGGGGAAUAUUGCACAGUGGGCGGAAGUCUGAGGCAGCAACGCCGCGUGCGGGAUGACGGCCUUCGGGUUGUAAACCGCUUCCGCCUGUGACGAAGCGUGAGUGACGGUAAUGGGUAAAGAAGCACCGGCUAACUACGUG
Molecule: ribosomal RNA, 468 nt
Filed under: uncultured bacterium
Lineage: Bacteria
Description: partial 16S ribosomal RNA
Rfam family: Bacterial small subunit ribosomal RNA
Source: RNAcentral